Molecule: ribosomal RNA, 254 nt
Filed under: uncultured bacterium
Lineage: Bacteria
Description: partial 16S ribosomal RNA
Rfam family: Bacterial small subunit ribosomal RNA
Source: RNAcentral
UACGUAGGGGGCGAGCGUUGUCCGGAUUCAUUGGGCGUAAAGCGCUUUAAGGCGGUUCGGUAAGUCGGGUGUGAAACCUCCAGGCUCAACCUGGAGACGCCACUCGAUACUGCUGUGACUAGAGUUCGGUAGGGGAUCACGGAAUUCCUGGUGUAGCGGUGAAAUGCGCAGAUAUCAGGAGGAACACCAGUGGCGAAGGCGGCUCACUGGUCCGGUACUGACGCUGAGGUGCGAAAGCGUGGGGAGCAAACAGG